RNAcentral lists this ribosomal RNA (435 nucleotides) under uncultured bacterium. Its description in RNAcentral is "partial 16S ribosomal RNA". It matches the Rfam family "Bacterial small subunit ribosomal RNA", at positions 28 to 507 of the family's 1533-position model. The record is from RNAcentral.
GAUGAACGCUGGCGGUAUGCUUAACACAUGCAAGUCGAACGGACUCUUCGGAGUUAGUGGCGGACGGGUGAGUAACGCGUGAGAAUCUGGCUUUGGGUUCGGGACAACCACUGGAAACGGUGGCUAAUACCGGAUGUGCCGAGAGGUAAAAGAGAAAUUGCCUGAAGAUGAGCUCGCGUCUGAUUAGCCAGUUGGUGAGGUAAAGGCUCACCAAGGCAGCGAUCAGUAGCUGGUCUGAGAGGAUGACCAGCCACACUGGGACUGAGACACGGCCCAGACUCCUACGGGAGGCAGCAGUGGGGAAUUUUCCGCAAUGGGCGAAAGCCUGACGGAGCAAUACCGCGUGAGGGAAGAAGGCUCUUGGGUUGUAAACCUCUUUUCUUAGGGAAGAACAAAAUGACGGUACCUAAGGAAUCAGCAUCGGCUAACUCCGUG